CGUGUAGGCGGUAAUGUAAGUCAGACGUGGAAUCCUUUGGCUCAACUGAAGAACUGCGUCUGAAACUGCAUGACUAGAGUGCAGAAGAGGGAAACGGAAUUCCCGGUGUAGAGGUGAAAUUCGUAGAUAUCGGGAGGAACACCGGUGGCGAAGGCGGUUUCCUGGUCUGACACUGACGCUGAGGCGCGAAAGCGUGGGGAGCAAACAGGAUUAGAUACCCUGGUAGUCCACGUCGUAAACGGUGGGUACUGGGUGUGGGAGGUGUAAUGCCUUCUGUGCCGAAGCUAACGCGUUAAGUACCCCGCCUGGGGAGUACGGCCGCAAGGUUGAA
RNAcentral lists this ribosomal RNA (331 nucleotides) under uncultured bacterium. RNAcentral describes it as "bacterial SSU rRNA". It matches the Rfam family "Bacterial small subunit ribosomal RNA", at positions 568 to 898 of the family's 1533-position model. The record is from RNAcentral.